ACGGGAGGCAGCAGUGGGGAAUAUUGCACAAUGGGGGAAACCCUGAUGCAGCAACGCCGCGUGAGUGAUGAAGUAUUUCGAUAUGUAAAGCUCUAUCAGCAGGGAAGAUAAUGACGGUACCUGACUAAGAAGCCCCGGCUAACUACGUGCCAGCAGCCGCGGUAAUACGUAGGGGGCAAGCGUUAUCCGGAUUUACUGGGUGUAAAGGGAGCGUAGGUGGUAUGGUAAGUCAGAAGUGAAAACCCAGGGCUUAACCUUGGGAUUGCUUUUGAAACUAUCAAACUAGAGUGCAGGAGGGGUAAGCGGAAUUCCUAGUGUAGCGGUGAAAUGCGUAGAUAUUAGGAAGAACACCAGCGGCGAAGGCGGCUUACUGGACUGUAACUGACACUGAGGCUCGAAAGCGUGGGGAGCAAACAGGAUUAGAUACCCUGGUA
RNAcentral lists this ribosomal RNA (434 nucleotides) under uncultured bacterium. RNAcentral describes it as "partial 16S ribosomal RNA". It matches the Rfam family "Bacterial small subunit ribosomal RNA", at positions 341 to 792 of the family's 1533-position model. The record is from RNAcentral.